UACGGGGGAUGCAAGCGUUAUCCGGAUUUAUUGGGUUUAAAGGGUGCGUAGGCUGUGAGGUAAGUCAGCGGUGAAAUGCCCCCGCUCAACGGGGUGAAGUGCCAUUGAUACUGCCUUGCUGGAAUGCGGAUGCCGUGGGAGAAAUGUGUGGUGUAGCGGUGAAAUGCAUAGAUAUCACACAGAACACCGAUUGCGAAGGCAUCUCACGAAUCCGCUAUUGACGCUGAUGCACGAAAGCGUGGGUAUCAAACAGG
Molecule: ribosomal RNA, 254 nt
Filed under: uncultured bacterium
Lineage: Bacteria
Description: partial 16S ribosomal RNA
Rfam family: Bacterial small subunit ribosomal RNA
Source: RNAcentral